Molecule: long non-coding RNA, 190 nt
Organism: Ipomoea nil (Japanese morning glory)
Lineage: Eukaryota; Viridiplantae; Streptophyta; Magnoliopsida; Solanales; Convolvulaceae
Exons: 3
Source: RefSeq, a predicted model, not a curated record
GUCCUUGUAAUUGAUGUGAAGAAGCUUGAAUGUGCUUGUAUUGUAACUGAUGUGAACGGAUAAAGGAUUACCGAGUUUCUUUGGUUAGAUUAGAUAGAUGGGUGUUUUACAGGACUGAAGAUGUUGUUAAGUGAGGCUCUUUGGCCAUAGAUCAUACUUGUUUUAAUUGAAGAGGUUUAAUUAUGAUUUU